Molecule: ribosomal RNA, 115 nt
Filed under: Aquipseudomonas alcaligenes
Lineage: Bacteria; Pseudomonadati; Pseudomonadota; Gammaproteobacteria; Pseudomonadales; Pseudomonadaceae
Source: RNAcentral
CUUGACGACCAUAGAGCGUUGGAACCACCUGAUCCCAUCCCGAACUCAGUAGUGAAACGAUGCAUCGCCGAUGGUAGUGUGGAGUUUCUCCAUGUGAGAGUAGGUCAUCGUCAAG